UCCCGUGUCCCUAGUAGAGAGGAAAUACCCAGCUCCAUCCCGAACCUGGAAGUCAAGCUCUCUAACGCCGAUGAUACU
Ribosomal RNA from Helicobacter suis HS5, 78 nucleotides. The record is from Rfam. NCBI's taxonomy places the organism in Bacteria, Pseudomonadati, Campylobacterota, Epsilonproteobacteria, Campylobacterales, Helicobacteraceae.